AAGUCGUAACAAGGUUUCCGUAGGUGAACCUGCGGAAGGAUCAUUACCGAAGUACAGGCCCUCUCGUAGGGCUAAACUUCCACCCUUUGUUAACCACACUUUGUUGCUUUGGCGAGACGCCCUCGGGCCACCGGCUUCGGCGGGUGCGCGCUCGCCAGAGAAAACCCAAACCCAAACCAUUUAAGUUGUCGUCUGAAAAACAAGUUUAAUAAUUAAAACUUUCAACAACGGAUCUCUUGGCUCUG
RNAcentral lists this unclassified non-coding RNA (245 nucleotides) under Articulospora sp. Its description in RNAcentral is "partial internal transcribed spacer region". The stretch from base 1 to 46 matches the Rfam family "Eukaryotic small subunit ribosomal RNA", at positions 1786 to 1831 of the family's 1831-position model. Lineage: Eukaryota; Fungi; Ascomycota; Leotiomycetes; Helotiales; Discinellaceae. The record is from RNAcentral.